GAUCAACGCUGGCGGCGUGCCUAACACAUGCAAGUCGAACGCGAAAGCCCGCAAGGGUAAGUAGAGUGGCGCACGGGUGAGUAACACGUGGACAACCUGCCUUCGAGUGGGGAAUAACCUUCCGAAAGGAGGGCUAAUACCGCAUAACACCUCGGGACACAAGUUCUGGGGUUGAAAAGAGCAAUUUGCUCGAAGAGGGGUCCGCGCCUGAUUAGCUAGUUGGUGAGGUAACGGCUCACCAAGGCUCGAUCAGUAGCCGUCCUGAGAGGGAGCACGGCCACACUGGAACUGAGACACGGUCCAGACUCCUACGGGAGGCAGCAGUGGGGAAUUUUUGGCAAUGGGCGAAAGCCUGACCAAGCAACGCCGCGUGGGUGAUGAAGUAUCUUGGGUAC
This 395-nucleotide ribosomal RNA is filed under the name uncultured bacterium. RNAcentral's name for it is "bacterial SSU rRNA". It matches the Rfam family "Bacterial small subunit ribosomal RNA", at positions 28 to 424 of the family's 1533-position model. The record is from RNAcentral.